UUUUAUUAAGUACUGCUGAGCUGCUCUCCAAAGUGGUCGUUCCCAUUGAUCACGACCCGCAGCUCAGAAGAAUUCCUUUGCUUCCACAUCCUUGCUGCACACGAUAUUGUCAGCUUCCAUAAAAACAGAUGUGGUGAAGGCUAAGCUGACUUGAGCUGCAGUGUAUGCUCCCCAUCUAAGAAUUCUCCACUUUGGAACCGUUGAAGAAUCCCUGUUGCAACCUAUAUUCAUUAAGCCGGACUCUGGGUGUGAGACACAGGCAGAGAAUUUGUAUGAUACAGAAUUUAUUAGAAUUCCUGUGAUUCAAUUUCCAGCUGAAUUAAUGUGAAAUACUGAUGACAAAGGACCUGAGCUGCUGCAAUCACAUUCCUAACCCACUGCCCCAUGGUGGGAACUCCAAAUAUAUUCAUGUUUAAGAUGUUAAUAUAUCCACAAGACAAGAAUACAUCCACAAGAAAAAGCAACACUCAAAGUGAUAUAGUCACCGUUUCCUUGGUCCCCAUCUUGCUGUAGCAAAGCAUUGGAAUGGCAGAUGUUUUCCAAAUUUAUUAAAGUGAAAAGUACAUUUUCAGAGAGGAAGAGAGAGGACUCACAUGCAUGCAGGUUAAAAAGAGGGUCUGA
Sus scrofa (pig) is the source of this 621-nucleotide non-coding RNA. The record is from RefSeq and is a predicted model, not a curated record. Lineage: Eukaryota; Metazoa; Chordata; Mammalia; Artiodactyla; Suidae.